CAGCCAUGUGGUGAGCACAAAGCGAACUAUUCUUUCGCCUUUUACUAAAGAAUACCGUGUGCUCUCCACUCUUAAGUGGCAUACGCCUAUUUUUGGAGGGUUCUGCUUUUUAAGUGGACC
Non-coding RNA from Brassica napus (rape), 120 nucleotides. Lineage: Eukaryota; Viridiplantae; Streptophyta; Magnoliopsida; Brassicales; Brassicaceae. The record is from Rfam.